Molecule: ribosomal RNA, 491 nt
Filed under: uncultured bacterium
Lineage: Bacteria
Description: bacterial SSU rRNA
Rfam family: Bacterial small subunit ribosomal RNA
Source: RNAcentral
GAAGGCUUUCGGGUCGUAAAACUCUGUUGUUAGGGAAGAACAAGUGCUAGUUGAAUAAGCUGGCACCUUGACGGUACCUAACCAGAAAGCCACGGCUAACUACGUGCCAGCAGCCGCGGUAAUACGUAGGUGGCAAGCGUUAUCCGGAAUUAUUGGGCGUAAAGCGCGCGCAGGUGGUUUCUUAAGUCUGAUGUGAAAGCCCACGGCUCAACCGUGGAGGGUCAUUGGAAACUGGGAGACUUGAGUGCAGAAGAGGAAAGUGGAAUUCCAUGUGUAGCGGUGAAAUGCGUAGAGAUAUGGAGGAACACCAGUGGCGAAGGCGACUUUCUGGUCUGUAACUGACACUGAGGCGCGAAAGCGUGGGGAGCAAACAGGAUUAGAUACCCUGGUAGUCCACGCCGUAAACGAUGAGUGCUAAGUGUUAGAGGGUUUCCGCCCUUUAGUGCUGAAGUUAACGCAUUAAGCACUCCGCCUGGGGAGUACGGCCGCAA